Molecule: ribosomal RNA, 484 nt
Filed under: uncultured bacterium
Lineage: Bacteria
Description: partial 16S ribosomal RNA
Rfam family: Bacterial small subunit ribosomal RNA
Source: RNAcentral
GACGAACGCUGGCGGCGUGCUUAACACAUGCAAGUCGAACGAUGAAGCCGGAGCUUGCUCUGGUGAAUUAGUGGCGAACGGGUGAGUAACACGUGAGUAACCUGCCCUUGACUCUGGGAUAACUGCUAGAAAUGGUAGCUAAUACCGGAUACGACCCUCGGAGGCAUCUCCAGGGGGUGGAAAGAAUUUCGGUCAAGGAUGGACUCGCGGCCUAUCAGCUAGUUGGUGAGGUAACGGUUCACCAAGGCGACGACGGGUAGCCGGCCUGAGAGAGUGACCGGCCACACUGGGACUGAGACACGGCCCAGACUCCUACGGGAGGCAGCAGUGGGGAAUAUUGCACAAUGGGCGCAAGCCUGAUGCAGCAACGCCGCGUGAGGGAUGACGGCCUUCGGGUUGUAAACCUCUUUUAGUAGGGAAGAAGCGAAAGUGACGGUACCUGCAGAAAAAGCACCGGCUAACUACGUGCCAGCAGCCGCCGUAA